Non-coding RNA from Aedes aegypti (yellow fever mosquito), 74 nucleotides. Lineage: Eukaryota; Metazoa; Arthropoda; Insecta; Diptera; Culicidae. The record is from Rfam.
UGUUCUGUAGCUUAGUUAAUUAAAGCGCCGGUCUAGCGUACACGGAGUCGUGAGUUCGAGUCUCACUAGAACGC